Ceratotherium simum simum (southern white rhinoceros) is the source of this 117-nucleotide non-coding RNA. The record is from RefSeq and is a predicted model, not a curated record. NCBI's taxonomy places the organism in Eukaryota, Metazoa, Chordata, Mammalia, Perissodactyla, Rhinocerotidae.
GAAGCAGAUGUACAAUGCAUGUUUGGUGGGCCAUAAGUCAGGCUGCUCUGGGAAAAACAAGUUUCAGCUGAAUCAGAUUUAAACCAGAAUGGCUUCCCUGUACACCUCAAUAUGUGA